RNAcentral lists this ribosomal RNA (466 nucleotides) under uncultured bacterium. Its description in RNAcentral is "partial 16S ribosomal RNA". It matches the Rfam family "Bacterial small subunit ribosomal RNA", at positions 28 to 507 of the family's 1533-position model. The record is from RNAcentral.
GAUGAACGCUGGCGGCGUGCUUAACACAUGCAAGUCGAACGAUGAAGCCCAGCUUGCUGGGUGGAUUAGUGGCGAACGGGUGAGUAACACGUGAGUAACCUGCCCUUAACUCUGGGAUAAGCCUGGGAAACUGGGUCUAAUACCGGAUAGGAGCGCCUACCGCAUGGUGGGUGUUGGAAAGAUUUAUCGGUUUUGGAUGGACUCGCGGCCUAUCAGCUUGUUGGUGAGGUAAUGGCUCACCAAGGCGACGACGGGUAGCCGGCCUGAGAGGGUGACCGGCCACACUGGGACUGAGACACGGCCCAGACUCCUACGGGAGGCAGCAGUGGGGAAUAUUGCACAAUGGGCGAAAGCCUGAUGCAGCGACGCCGCGUGAGGGAUGACGGCCUUCGGGUUGUAAACCUCUUUCAGUAGGGAAGAAGCGAAAGUGACGGAACCUGCAGAAGAAGCACCGGCUAACUACGUG